This 401-nucleotide ribosomal RNA is filed under the name uncultured bacterium. Its description in RNAcentral is "bacterial SSU rRNA". It matches the Rfam family "Bacterial small subunit ribosomal RNA", at positions 957 to 1358 of the family's 1533-position model. The record is from RNAcentral.
AAACGUGAAGAACCUUACCCGGGCUUGAAUUGCAGAGGAAGGAUUUGGAGACAAUGACGCCCUUCGGGGUCUCUGUGAAGGUGCUGCAUGGUUGUCGUCAGCUCGUGCCGUGAGGUGUCGGUUUAAGGGCCAGAACGAGCGCAACCCCUAUCCUUAGUUGCCAUCAGGUUAAGCUGGGCAUUCUGGGGACACUGCCACGGUAAAACGGGAGGAAGGUGGGGAUGACGUCAAUUCACCACGCCCCUUAGGUCUGGGGUUACACACGUGUUACAAUGGCUGGUACAAAGAGAAGGUAGUCCGCGAGGUGGAUCAAAUCCCAAAAACCAGUUUCCAGUUCGGAUGGGGGGGUGCAACUGACCCCCAGGAAGUGGGAAUGGUUAGUAUUGGGCAUCAAGCAUGGC